AUUGAACGCUGGCGGCAGGCUUAACACAUGCAAGUCGAGCGGGGAAAGGUAGCUUGCUACCUGACCUAGCGGCGGACGGGUGAGUAAUGCUUAGGAAUCUGCCUAUUAGUGGGGGACAACAUUCCGAAAGGAAUGCUAAUACCGCAUACGCCCUCCGGGGAAAAGCAGGGGAUCUUCGGACAUUGCGCUAAUAGAUGAGCCUAAGUCAGAUUCGCUCGCUGGUGGGGUAAAGGCCUACCAAGGCAACCAUCUCUAGCGGGUCUGAGAGGAUGAUCCGCCACACUGGGACUGAGACACAGCCCAGACUCCUGCGGGAGGCAGCAGUGCGGAAUAUUGGACAAUGGGCGAAAGCCUGAUCUAGCCAUGCCGCGUGUGUGAAGAAGGCCUUUUGGUUGUAAAGCACUUUAAGCGAGGAGGAGGCUACUUGGAUUAAUACUCUAGGAUAGUGGACGUUACUCGCAGAAUAAGCACCGGCUAACUCUGUGCCAGCCGCCGCGGUAA
This 501-nucleotide ribosomal RNA is filed under the name uncultured bacterium. RNAcentral describes it as "partial 16S ribosomal RNA". It matches the Rfam family "Bacterial small subunit ribosomal RNA", at positions 30 to 523 of the family's 1533-position model. The record is from RNAcentral.